AUUGAACGCUGGCGGCAGGCCUAACACAUGCAAGUCGAGCGGAUGAAGGGAGCUUGCUCCUGGAUUCAGCGGCGGACGGGUGAGUAAUGCCUAGGAAUCUGCCUUGUAGUGGGGGAUAACGUCCGGAAACGGGCGCUAAUACCGCAUACGUCCUGAGGGAGAAAGUGGGGGAUCUUCGGACCUCACGCUAUCUGAUGAGCCUAGGUCGGAUUAGCUAGUUGGUGGGGUAAAGGCCUACCAAGGCGACGAUCGGUAACUGGUCUGAGAGGAUGAUCAGUCACACUGGAACUGAGACACGGUCCAGACUCCUACGGGAGGCAGCAGUGGGGAAUAUUGGACAAUGGGCGAAAGCCUGAUCCAGCCAUGCCGCGUGUGUGAAGAAGGUCUUCGGAUUGUAAAGCACUUUAAGUUGGGAGGAAGGGCAGUAAGUUAAUACCUUGCUGUUUUGACGUUACCAACAGAAUAAGCACCGGCUAACUUCGUG
RNAcentral lists this ribosomal RNA (484 nucleotides) under uncultured bacterium. Its description in RNAcentral is "partial 16S ribosomal RNA". It matches the Rfam family "Bacterial small subunit ribosomal RNA", at positions 30 to 507 of the family's 1533-position model. The record is from RNAcentral.